UACGAAGGGCCCGAGCGUUAUUCGGAUUUACUAGGCUUAAAGCGUACGCAGGCGGACAUGCAGGUAUCGAGUGAAAUCCCUCGGCUCAACCGAGGAACUGCUCGGUAAACCGCAUGUCUUGAGACAAAUAGAGGCUGUCGGAACGAUAGGUGGAGUGGUGAUAUGCGUUGAUAUCUAUCGGAACGCCAAAGGUGAAGACAGGCAGCUGGGUUUGUUCUGACGCUCAUGUACGAAAGCGUGGGGAGCGAACGGG
Molecule: unclassified non-coding RNA, 253 nt
Filed under: uncultured Phycisphaeraceae bacterium
Lineage: Bacteria; Pseudomonadati; Planctomycetota; Phycisphaerae; Phycisphaerales; Phycisphaeraceae
Description: contains 16S-23S intergenic spacer region
Rfam family: Bacterial small subunit ribosomal RNA
Source: RNAcentral